RNAcentral lists this long non-coding RNA (743 nucleotides) under Mustela putorius furo (domestic ferret). Its description in RNAcentral is "lncRNA (ENSMPUG00000026093.1)". The record is from RNAcentral. Lineage: Eukaryota; Metazoa; Chordata; Mammalia; Carnivora; Mustelidae.
CUCGGGUUUCUCCCACUGCUUCCCAAUAGUGUCCUUUUCCUUUUUUGCAAGCCUGGGUUUUGCACGGUGAGGCCCCAUUAUUUGGGUCAUUAUGGUGCAAUUAUUUUCUGACAUUUGUUUUUGUUUUUCCUUUUCCCCUAGACCAAAAAAAUAUGGCAGUGACAGAGCAUGGUGCCCCUCAGCAGCCUGUUUUCCGGUCUCCACAGCCACCUGCUGCCUCCCCAGGUCCCACUUAAGGAUUCUCAGGGCUACAGGAGUAAAAUUUGUUUUUUCCAACUUCCUUCCUCAUGUUGACUCCACAUGUCUCCUUGAAGGCCGUGAUGAGAAGAUUGAGGUUCACAUAGCUAUGACUUGGUGGCACUGGGAUCCACAGCCAGAUGGAGCAGACCUCAGAGCAAGUGCUGUCGGCCGACGCAGAGGCUGGAAGUCACGCUCAUCCUCCCUCGGACCCGGGAUGCUUCUCACACAGGCAGAUUGAAUUAUGGAAGCAUUAACUGCCUUCCAAAGGAGCGUCUCCGGACCCACAAUCACCAGUGAUAACACACGAUCAUUGGCACCUCUGCCUAUCACAUGUUCUAGAACCUGAACACCAGAUCACUUCUCCUCCCAGGCCAGGUCCACAGAGGCUUAGGCACGGUGCUCACAUGGGCUUGCCUGGGACUUUCCUAGCUUCCUGCUGUGCCCCCCCCCCAGCUCUCUCAUUUGUCCCUCAAGACCUGGGAUUCCAUGACAGAAGCUUCCCC